UCUUAUCUAGCCGUGCAUCGUUUCUCUAUUUAUUCGUUUGUUUUAUCCUCUGUUUACAACCCCUUAUUUCAACAUCUAUUCGAAUUCAAGCGCGGCAUUGAUCCUUGAAAUACGUAUUUUUGCACCCUAUCCAGAUGAAGAAAUUAGCGGAAAAAUGGACACUGUUCAAAUAUAUCGGUGUGCAAAUAGUUUUCGCAGCCAUUGAGACACUGUACGGUCAACGCUUUGUCGUACGGUCAGCAACGGAUGUAAUCGAUCCGAAGAAUCUCGAAAUUAAGUAUAAUAUAUUCAGCGACAGUCGAGCGUAACCUUAACCGUAUUAUACAAAUGAAAGAAAGAAUCGCAGCUGAAUAUCGUAUCGACCGAUUCAGCCGCGAUCUUGCGGUCGUUUGGCAAUCAACGAACAAAUUGUGCGUACAUUAUCGCCGAAGAUUACGACUGCAUCGCCAACCGGAGAAUAAUAAAAAUGUUCUAAUAUUUCGUCCAAGCCUGUACAACGACGACAACGACGACGACGUGGAAGAACUGGAUAAUACGCUCAAGGUUGUUUGCUCACGAGUGCGCUGCUUAUACGAGCGUUUCUGCAUCCACGUGAUAUCGCGAAAUACGCGAACGUUGUUCCGGCGUUUCGCCGGUUUCUUCGGUUACGCGUCGAAUCCGUCUCGAAAUCGAGUCGAAUUUGUUCGCCACUGACGUCCCUUUUCUACUGCCUCGCGCAUUCGGAAUUCCAACCGAUCCAUCCAUCCCUUCCUUUCGAAUCGUCCAAAAGAUAACAUUCGCGAGCGUAUAUGCGUAUAGGCGUCUAUGAAAGUGUUUCGAGACUCGUGAACGCAUAUCGCGAUUCGAUCGAGAUAAAGCUUUGUCAUCGUUACGAUUUCUUUCCGUGGUUAGAUGAACGAUAUCGUAAAUAAUUACGUAACAUCCCUGUAACCUAACGUUCCUCGAACGUACGAGUGUACUUGAGCGUAUUAACUCGGUAUAAUACUCGAUCGAUACCUAAAACGUAUUCGAACGAUUGGAUUAGUCUCGUGCAUGAGCGAAUCGAUGGAAAAUAAUUUUUCGACGAAUGUUACGCAAAUACAUCGGCCGAUUUACCUACAAAUGCGCAAUACAGCCUGCAGAAGCCGACCACUCGUUCAACUAUUGCAAACGUUCGAGUAAACACCUCUGAUUUGUUGCAUCGAUCCUAAGCGAUUAUGCACGGUUCAAGGCAUAUGGCAAACAGCGUGCACAUGUAGUAAUAUCUAUAUGUAACGCUGUUUCGACGGCGAGAGGUGUACCGAUACGAAGGAUACUUUAAUCGAUGUUCAAGGUUAAACGGCAGAAUUAUUAGCGCUCGCGCUUGUUGCGACACGAUCGCGGUUGCUCGUGCUCGUCUCGCGGUUCGACCAGUACCACGCCGAUAUGUAGACACAGUGUGUCGGCAUUUUGUGACGCAUAGCCGUUACAUAAUCGUUCAGCGUCGAGACGAGUCGCGCGUAGUAUAGGUCCUCGUGCUCGAUCAUCGCCGAUCCAAUUCGAAGAGUUCGUUGUUCGGCAAAUAUUCGAGCGAUUAAGAGAUUUGGCGAACAACGGCAGAAAGCAGCGAAUGAAAGAGGAGCGACGAAUAACACGGCAAAUUGUUCCAUUCGUAUACAGACGCUCUUAUCUCGCAGCCGUUAAAGGACAAUUGGAGAAAAUAAGUGGAAUAAGUCGAUGCGGGGACAUAUGAAAAAUGAAAAAGUCAAUUCGGUUGUUCGCGUUAUUCCGUGUCUUGGAAUCGCGCGACGUUCCGAUGUCGUCGUAUUUCGUAACCAAUAAGCUGGCAACAGCUCAGCAACGGUCACCGAUCGAACCAUCGUUAAUGAAAACUCUAAACAAUGGCCAAAGGAGGGACGAAGGAAUUUGCGUGGCAACCCCGUGGAUACAAAGCGGGACCUCCCAUAACGCGGCAGAUACGUAUUAUACGGGGCCCGUAUUACCCGGUUUCGUGUAAAAUCGUAAAAUUAUAAAAGAGAAAUCCGCAAUCUGCAAUUUCUCGCUUAUCGAUUCGCUAACGUUAUUGCUCGCUAAAUUACCGCGCAGAAGGGCCCGAGUUACUCGGAAGCAGCAAAAGGAUAUCGAGAAAACGUGACUAUCGAUGACUAGAAAGCAUGUUGUAAAUUCUAUGGAAAGGAUCGAUAGAAUCGUAAUUAGAGAUACAGAAGUUUAGCCUGAAACUAGAGUGGACAAGUUCUUGCGGCUUUUACCGAUACGAAGCAACUUUUACCACAAUGUCGCCGUAGUCCUCUCCUUUCUCGUUCGUCGAUCUCGACAAUUUUCGAUAAAAAAGGAGAAUGGUCUUUAAUAUCUGUCUCAACGGAGGGACAAUGGAUCGUCGCGAGGACGAUUCGGAAAAUUUGGUAUGCACGCAGCCUUAUCGUAGAUUCGGCGCGAAGGAUGGCUGACACGAAAGCCCGUAGUACAAGAUACGAACACGAAUCGGCCGGACCAGCUGACUGCCAAAACAGCUGCGGCGAUACACGCGAUGAUGGAUCAUUGCUUGCUCCGUUUCACUGGUUCGUCCUCUCUUCCGCUUCUCCUUUCCACUUCGACUCGACCUCUCGACUCGAUCGUACGACUCUAUGCGUUCAGCCAAUUCCCGCUUAAUUAGCCGACCUUCUUCUUUUCGUCGAUUACGCGUAUAUGCUAAAGAGAUCCAAAAGCGAACAAUCGACUCGUAACGUAACGCGAUACAUUAUUCCUGCGAUAAGGGAUUCAAAAUUCGCUCCUCUUCCACAUAGAUGUUACAACUUUAAGAAAUUCGAAGAAAAACACACCUUCUUAAGAAGGUAUAUGCUUAUAAUAAAUACUUAAAUAUAAAUAUACGUGUAUUUAAUAUAUAGAUAUAUAUAUAUUUGUAGCAAGCUAUCGCCUUGGUGUUUAAUCGGGAAAUUGACGUACGAUCUAUUUGAACGGAAUUUGAAAUGUUUCAAACUGAUUUUACCAACCGGGUAUGCUUUGCCUCUCUCUUUCGAGAACUAGCUGUUUUAUUUUCGGCCGCCUUACGUAAGGAACAACGUUCGGUCGACGAUCGAGGCGACAAACAGCGUUAAUCGUACCGUGCGAUUUUGCUGCUAAUCUCGAGGUACACUCCAAUUACUCUUUCUCAAGGUACGCGUAUCGAAGCAACUAUUGUUCCUUAAGGAAAAUACAAAUUGCUGUUCGCGUUGCAGAGUCACGCAGUGACGAAGAGAUAUUCGGUUUUCUGUACGCGAUAAAACGUUUGUUGUUCCAAAUAGAAAGUUACCGUUAUCCAAUCCUGACGAUGGAUAAAAAAAUUCAAAGGCCUUUUUCGUCUAUCUUUCUUACGAUUAACCAAUCGUCGCGUUGGCUUGGAGUCUGUCGGUGCCACGGAAAAAAUUGGUACGGGGAACGUAGACGAAUCGAGGAUAAAAACUAUCACGUUCCGUGGGAUAAAGCGAUACGCCGAAAAACCGACACCGGUGGACUAAUAGCUAGAGGAGAAGUACGGUCGCUGGAGCGUGCUCGCGAUACUCUGGUUCGUUAAUUUUUUCGUCGCUUUACGAUUCGAACGAAUUUACCCGAGAGUCGUUCGAGCCUCUCGGAAACCACAUCGAUCGAUACCAUAAAUCGAAAGUACGUUUCUCAAAUUUCCCUUAGAAUUUACCAUCGUCUCUGUCACGUUGCCACGGACGAUCUUGUACGAGUCGAUUCCAGCAGCUUUCAAGAGAUCCGUUUCUCACGGUUUCCUAUUCCUUUCCUUCAACGUUCUACCUUUUUCGAAUUAUCACAGCUAACGUCCGAGGAGCUCCGCACGAUGUACACGUUGCAACGAAUUGUGGUUGCGUCACGCGUAUAACACCUUCAAUGAAAUAUCGUAACGAAUAUGAUAUCCGCUAUCGUACACGGUAUCCUUGAAUUUAUAUAAUGUCCAUUCUUUCGUUAUUCGUUAAGGCUUCUUUCGUUCCCCUCUAUUCUCGCUUGUCGAUCCUUUUCACCCUCCCCCUUCCUCCUAUUUUCCCCUCCAUCCAUCCAUCUACGCGUCUAUCUGUUACUACACGUUACUUCUCGCACGACUCUUCCUACACGGUAGACGAAACGAUUGCGUAAGGAUUUCUUCGCUUUUGUAAAUAAUUGGACGGUGCUCGAGCGACUACUUCCAUCACCAAACGGCAAUACGGAAUUAUAUUCGUACAGAAACGUAGAAACUGCGGCCACUUUCGUCGCUCACUUUGACAGCCGACGAUUGUUCUCCCUAUCGACUUGCGUAUCUCAGGACGAACGACAUUUUUCCAUACAGCCUAUUGCAUAAAUAUAGAAAGACGCUAGUCAUCGGAGAAGUAUUUCCGAACGACGAGUCGAGUCGAUGAAUGGAGGAAGGAGCACGGGGGUAGUUCGAGUCGCUCGACCGACAGCGAUCGAACGCCGAUAGAGAGAGGAAAUAGACGGAGAAUAAUGACGUUCGUUGCGGAGAAUAAUUUUCAAGAGACGACAAAAAAUAUUUAAUUGCUGUCAGUAGGAUCAAGCUGUUCGUUUCGAUUCACGCUUCGGAUAUUUGCGGAGCUUUGUUUCGUCGACAGUAUGUACAGCGACUUAAAUAUACGUCGCUAAUGGCACGGAACCGAAGAUACAAAGGGUUGCUCGCUACUGCUACCGUUCUUACUAUUACCGCCACUGCUGCUGGAUGCUGGCGUGUUUAUUUAUAAUUUGACCAUGGUCAAGAAAGGAACGAUCGAAUCGGUGGAAGCUAAAGAUCGACUUUCAAAGCGGACAAAGUUACUCGAACGAUGCGAAGAAUGCAAUCUUUUAUAAAUAAGGAAAUAAGAUAAAGCUGCACGACGUAACACGCAACACGCUCGAAAGACCCAAAGAAUGCGUCCUUUUAUAAAUAAGAAAGUAAAAAAAGCUUGUACAUGGUACGCAACAUGCGUAAAAACAUCGAAAGAGUAAUCGAGCGAUAGGUGAUAAACAAAUUGCACGUACAGAGGCUCGCGAAAGUAUUCAAACAGUCGUAGAAACGUAGAGACAUGACGUGUUUAAAAUACGAAAAAUUUUGAAAUUUUAUCGGUUCCGUAACGAAACGCGACUAAUAAUCAAAUAUUUUUACGAAUUUUAAUUUUCUAUGGCGAGCGUUCGAACGUUUUCGUGCGCCAGCGUACACGCGCGUAACGACGGCCGAAAGUCCCUUUGCGUUGCGCGAAUACGAUGUACGAAGAGCAACAUUGCAGGUCACUGCAAUGCGGCUGAUGGUGGCAGUUGGUCAAUAGGCAACCAGCCAAUUCCGAUCGAAUUUAAAUAAGCCCUUGUGCCAUUUUGCACUGUCAGCUCCGAGUAUAACGUUUCUAAAGAAACCUUUCUUCGCUUAAUCCACGGAGCGUGCUCGCUACGCGAUACACACGACGAACGAUCCAACGCAGCGCCACGUUGAUCGAUGACCUGAGAUCGAGAGAUCGAGGAUCGAAGAUCAAACGCGACACGAGUCGCGUACGUCUGUACGCUCGAUUAAUAAACUCGUCUAACAUUACCGGAUCGACAAUUUGAAACCAUUGUAAUUUCGAUUAAAUCUUCGCACCGUUUCGGUAUUAUCGAAGAUUCGCUUUAUGAUUAAUUUAAGAUUCGCUGUAAAUAAAUUUUGAAACGCAGCGUGCGCUUGCGCGAUA
Molecule: long non-coding RNA, 5642 nt
Organism: Bombus terrestris (buff-tailed bumblebee)
Lineage: Eukaryota; Metazoa; Arthropoda; Insecta; Hymenoptera; Apidae
Exons: 4
Source: RefSeq, a predicted model, not a curated record